This 277-nucleotide long non-coding RNA is filed under the name Gallus gallus (chicken). The record is from RNAcentral. Lineage: Eukaryota; Metazoa; Chordata; Aves; Galliformes; Phasianidae.
UAUUAAGGGAAGAACAGCUGGAAUCAUCUCCCGUGGAAAGAUCUGGCUGACAAUGGUUAACGCCAUGCUCACCUCUACUAGAUUAGUGCUCUGUAAGUCCUCCAAACCUCCAAAAACACUGUACCUUCACAACUGUGUUCACAAGCAGAAGUAGCAGUUCAUGAUUUUCAUGGAGAAAUAAAGAGACUGCCAAGUAACCAACUCUUUUCUCCAAAAGAUUCCCUUGCUGUGCAAGCUUGAUUGCAUGGAUAUAUCCAAAGGAAGAUUCAUAUCCCAG